AACCGUAUAGGGGAGCCGGAGGGAAACCGAGUCUUAAUUGGGCGUUAAGUUGCAGGGUAUAGACCCGAAACCCGGUGAUCUAGCCAUGGGCAGGUUGAAGGUUGGGUAACACUAACUGGAGGACCGAACCGACUAAUGUUGAAAAAUUAGCGGAUGACCUGUGGCUGGGGGUGAAAGGCCAAUCAAACCGGGAGAUAGCUGGUUCUCCCCGAAAGCUAUUUAGGUAGCGCCUCGUGAAUUCAUCUCCGGGGGUAGAGCACUGUUUCGGCUAGGGGGCCAUCCCGGCUUACCAACCCGAUGCAAACUGCGAAUACCGGAGAAUGUUAUCACGGGAGACACACGGCGGGUGCUAACGUCCGUCGUGAAGAGGGAAACAACCCAGACCGCCAGCUAAGGUCCCAAAGUCAUGGUUAAGUGGGAAACGAUGUGGGAAGGCCCAGACAGCCAGGAUGUUGGCUUAGAAGCAGCCAUCAUUUAAAGAAAGCGUAAUAGCUCACUGGUCGAGUCGGCCUGCGCGGAAGAUGUAACGGGGCUAAACCAUGCACCGAAGCUGCGGCAGCGACGCUGAUGCGUUGUUGGGUAGGGGAGCGUUCUGUAAGCCUGCGAAGGUGGCCUGUGAGGGUUGCUGGAGGUAUCAGAAGUGCGAAUGCUGACAUAAGUAACGAUAAAGCGGGUGAAAAGCCCGCUCGCCGGAAGACCAAGGGUUCCUGUCCAACGUUAAUCGGGGCAGGGUGAGUCGACCCCUAAGGCGAGGCCGAAAGGCGUAGUCGAUGGGAAACGGGUUAAUAUUCCCGUACUUGGUGUUACUGCGAAGGGGGGACGGAGAAGGCUAUGUUGGCCGGGCGACGGUUGUCCCGGUUUAAGCGUGUAGGCUGGUUUUCCAGGCAAAUCCGGAAAAUCAAGGCUGAGGCGUGACGACGAGGCACUACGGUGCUGAAGCAACAAAUGCCCUGCUUCCAGGAAAAGCCUCUAAGCAUCAGGUAACAUCAAAUCGUACCCCAAACCGACACAGGUGGUCAGGUAGAGAAUACCAAGGCGCUUGAGAGAACUCGGGUGAAGGAACUAGGCAAAAUGGUGCCGUAACUUCGGGAGAAGGCACGCUGACACGUAGGUGAAGUGAUUUACUCAUGGAGCUGAAGUCAGUCGAAGAUACCAGCUGGCUGCAACUGUUUAUUAAAAACACAGCACUGUGCAAACACGAAAGUGGACGUAUACGGUGUGACGCCUGCCCGGUGCCGGAAGGUUAAUUGAUGGGGUCAGCGCAAGCGAAGCUCCUGAUCGAAGCCCCGGUAAACGGCGGCCGUAACUAUAACGGUCCUAAGGUAGCGAAAUUCCUUGUCGGGUAAGUUCCGACCUGCACGAAUGGCGUAAUGAUGGCCAGGCUGUCUCCACCCGAGACUCAGUGAAAUUGAACUCGCUGUGAAGAUGCAGUGUACCCGCGGCAAGACGGAAAGACCCCGUGAACCUUUACUAUAGCUUGACACUGAACAUUGAGCCUUGAUGUGUAGGAUAGGUGGGAGGCUUUGAAGUGUGGACGCCAGUCUGCAUGGAGCCGACCUUGAAAUACCACCCUUUAAUGUUUGAUGUUCUAACGUGGACCCGUGAUCCGGGUUGCGGACAGUGUCUGGUGGGUAGUUUGACUGGGGCGGUCUCCUCCUAAAGAGUAACGGAGGAGCACGAAGGUUGGCUAAUCCUGGUCGGACAUCAGGAGGUUAGUGCAAUGGCAUAAGCCAGCUUGACUGCGAGCGUGACGGCGCGAGCAGGUGCGAAAGCAGGUCAUAGUGAUCCGGUGGUUCUGAAUGGAAGGGCCAUCGCUCAACGGAUAAAAGGUACUCCGGGGAUAACAGGCUGAUACCGCCCAAGAGUUCAUAUCGACGGCGGUGUUUGGCACCUCGAUGUCGGCUCAUCACAUCCUGGGGCUGAAGUAGGUCCCAAGGGUAUGGCUGUUCGCCAUUUAAAGUGGUACGCGAGCUGGGUUUAGAACGUCGUGAGACAGUUCGGUCCCUAUCUGCCGUGGGCGCUGGAGAACUGAGGGGGGCUGCUCCUAGUACGAGAGGACCGGAGUGGACGCAUCACUGGUGUUCGGGUUGUCAUGCCAAUGGCACUGCCCGGUAGCUAAAUGCGGAAGAGAUAAGUGCUGAAAGCAUCUAAGCACGAAACUUGCCCCGA
RNAcentral lists this ribosomal RNA (2169 nucleotides) under Salmonella enterica subsp. enterica serovar Reading. RNAcentral's name for it is "partial 23S ribosomal RNA". It matches the Rfam family "Bacterial large subunit ribosomal RNA", at positions 648 to 2802 of the family's 2925-position model. Lineage: Bacteria; Pseudomonadati; Pseudomonadota; Gammaproteobacteria; Enterobacterales; Enterobacteriaceae. The record is from RNAcentral.